CCUACGGGAGACAGCAGUGAGGAAUAUUGGUCAAUGGACGAGAGUCUGAACCAGCCAAGUAGCGUGAAGGAUGACUGCCCUAUGGGUUGUAAACUUCUUUUAUAUGGGAAUAAAACGUUCCACGUGUGGGAUUUUGUAUGUACCAUAUGAAUAAGGAUCGGCUAACUCCGUGCCAGCAGCCGCGGUAAUACGGAGGAUCCGAGCGUUAUCCGGAUUUAUUGGGUUUAAAGGGUGCGUAGGUGGAGUGUUAAGUCAGUUGUGAAAGUUUGCGGCUCAACCGUAAAAUUGCAGUUGAAACUGGCAGUCUUGAGUACAGGAGAGGUGGGCGGAAUUCGUGGUGUAGCGGUGAAAUGCUUAGAUAUCACGAAGAACUCCGAUUGCGAAGGCAGUUCACUGGACUGCAACUGACACUGAGGCUCGAAAGUGUGGGUAUCAAACAGGAUUAGAUACCCGGGUAGUC
RNAcentral lists this ribosomal RNA (460 nucleotides) under uncultured bacterium. Its description in RNAcentral is "partial 16S ribosomal RNA". It matches the Rfam family "Bacterial small subunit ribosomal RNA", at positions 338 to 795 of the family's 1533-position model. The record is from RNAcentral.